ACCCUCCCCUUUUUUCAGGAUUCAAUUCCCUCUCCCCAACUCACAAAAUCUUUCAGGCCCAAAUUUCCUCUCUUCAUCACCUUCUCUACCGAGAGAAAGUCGGCGCAAUCAGAACAACAAAGGUGAUUGUUGUAGAAAAUUACUCCAAUGGAACAAAGGAUAAUCUAAAGCAACGGAUUGAUCAUCCAAGAUUUGAGCUAGUUCGUGAAGCGGUACUGAUACAGAUACUAAUGGAAUUCAUGUCUGCGAAAUUUAAUUAAGUCCCUUAACAAAUUAGACGUUGAACUUAGUGAUGUGGAGAGCGGAUCUACUUCCCCUCAUGGAUGUAAGAGUAGCAUCAAGCGAUAACAAUGCAAAUCACCAAGCAAGUACAUUGCACUUUGUAUAUUUAUUUAUUGAGGAUGAGGAUCUACUCUUUAUUGUAUAAUGUUUAAGUUAUCAUACAUUUAUUUGUAUAAUUUUUGUUUGAUAUGAAUUUGAAAUUGUGAUGUUUGUUAGUAUUGAUAUUUUUAAUGGAAUUUGAUUUCUGUUGUGA
This is a long non-coding RNA of Nicotiana tabacum (common tobacco), 535 nucleotides long. RefSeq lists it as uncharacterized. The record is from RefSeq and is a predicted model, not a curated record. NCBI's taxonomy places the organism in Eukaryota, Viridiplantae, Streptophyta, Magnoliopsida, Solanales, Solanaceae.